AGAGUUUGAUCAUGGCUCAGGACGAACGCUGGCGGCGCGCUUAACACAUGCAAGUCGAACGGAAAGGCCCUUCGGGGUACUCGAGUGGCGAACGGGUGAGUAACACGUGGGUGAUCUGCCCUGCACUCUGGGAUAAGCCUGGGAAACUGGGUCUAAUACCGGAUAGGACCGCAUGCUUCAUGGUGUGUGGUGCAAAGCUUUUGCGGUGUGGGAUGAGCCCGCGGCCUAUCAGCUUGUUGGUGGGGUAAUGGCCUACCAAGGUGACGACGGGUAGCCGGCCUGAGAGGGUGACCGGCCACACUGGGACUGAGAUACGGCCCAGACUCCUACGGGAGGCAGCAGUGGGGAAUAUUGCACAAUGGGCGCAAGCCUGAUGCAGCGACGCCGCGUGAGGGAUGACGGCCUUCGGGUUGUAAACCUCUUUCAGUAGGGACGAAGCGAAAGUGACGGUACCUACAGAAGAAGGACCGGCCAACUACGUGCCAGCAGCCGCGGUAAUACGUAGGGUCCGAGCGUUGUCCGGAAUUACUGGGCGUAAAGAGCUCGUAGGUGGUUUGUCGCGUUGUUCGUGAAAACUCACAGCUUAACUGUGGGCGUGCGGGCGAUACGGGCAGACUAGAGUACUGCAGGGGAGACUGGAAUUCCUGGUGUAGCGGUGGAAUGCGCAGAUAUCAGGAGGAACACCGGUGGCGAAGGCGGGUCUCUGGGCAGUAACUGACGCUGAGGAGCGAAAGCGUGGGUAGCGAACAGGAUUAGAUACCCUGGUAGUCCAA
This 773-nucleotide ribosomal RNA is filed under the name uncultured bacterium. RNAcentral describes it as "bacterial SSU rRNA". It matches the Rfam family "Bacterial small subunit ribosomal RNA", at positions 8 to 798 of the family's 1533-position model. The record is from RNAcentral.